AAUUAUUUUGUUGCUAUUUAAUCUAGUUUCUCUCGGAAAGACAAACUAGAUGAUAUCCGAAAGGAUAAUAUUUUAUCGUAAGGUUAAAUACUAAGAAAGAAACGUCUAAUUUUUUUAGUAAUGGUGAUUGAAAAAUUUGUAGGUUAUUGCGUGCAAGUACUGUGAAGGAAAUAAUUUUAAUUUUAAGUUAGUAGAGAUUUGGUCUUGUACCUUUUGUAUUAUGGUUCUUCUAGGUGUAAAUUUGUUAAUCAAAUGUUCCCGAAAAAGGCUGAGCUAUUUCUUAGCACAUGAUUACAUCAACGUAGCAAAGUUGUGUAUAGACUAUGGAAUAGGGGUGAAAUGCUUUACGAAGUCUUUGAUUGCUGGUUAAUUAGGAAAUGCAUUAAAGUGCAGGCAAGUUGGAAAUUGGUAUUUUAAUCCAUUGAUUUAUUUUGUUUGGGCUAAAAACGAAAAUUUUGCUGACACAAGAAAGGAUAAGCUUUCUUGUGAUGCUAAGAGAAAAAUUUAUAGGGAUGUAUAAUAAUUCAGUGGGCUUAGAAUUGGCCAUCUGGUAUCGUGAGCUUGUUACAAAUCAGUUUUAGAAAAAUUGUUCUCAAAAAUCUUUAUUUUUUUUCUCUAAUUUUAGUUAAGUAGAGUACUAAUUUAUUUGGUUUGAUUAAAAAAACCAAUUUAUUUCUGGUGAAAUGAGUAUUUAUGUAUAUUAAGUAUUAAGCAUUUAAGUUUAAAUGAAAUUGAAGGAUUUAAUUAAAUGACUAGUAUUUAAAAUUUAGUUUUGGUGCUGGGCUUAAAUAGCUAGCUCCAAAUUGAUAUAGUAUUAAUUUAAAAAAAGGAACUCGGCAAAUACGGCUUCGCCUGUUUAUCAAAAACAUCGCUCUCUGAUAUAAAGCUUAUUUAAGAAUAUAGAGAGUCGGGCCUGCCCAGUGACAUUAGAUGUUAAACGGCCGCGGUACCCUGACCGUGCAAAGGUAGCAUAAUCACUUGCCUUUUGAUUGAGGGCUGGUAUGAAUGGCUUGACGAGAGCUGGACUGUCUCUUUUUAAAUUUAUAAAAAUUAACUUUUAGGUGAAGAGGCCUAAAUUCAACUGAGUGACGAAAAGACCCUAUUGAGCUUUAGUUAAUUAACAAAAUUUUAACAUUAGUUUUUUCGCACUUGGAUCUGCAUAUAUGUUUUGUUAAAAAUCUUUAGUUGGGGUGACUUAGGAGUAAAAAAAACUUCCUUUAAUUACUUAAGUAUGCAAGGUAUUCAUACUGAUUUUAUAGAUCCAGUAUUUACUGAUCAAAGGAAAAAGUUACCAUAGGGAUAACAGCGUUAUCUUUCUGGAGAGUUCUUAUUGAAGGAAAGGUUUACGACCUCGAUGUUGGACUAAGAUAUCCUAGAGGUGCAGAAGCUUCUGAUGGUUAGUCUGUUCGACUAUUAAAAUCUUACAUGAUCUGAGUUCAGACCGGCGUGAGCCAGGUUGGUUUCUAUCUUCAGUUGAUUUAUGAAUUAAAUUUUUAGUUAGUACGAAAGGACCGCUGUUAAAAUAAAUAAUUUGUAAAUAAAGAAUUCAUUUUAAGAUUAACUAUUAAAUUUUACUAGAAUAAAACA
This 1587-nucleotide ribosomal RNA is filed under the name Tegula brunnea (brown turban snail). Its description in RNAcentral is "Chlorostoma brunnea (brown turban snail) 16S ribosomal RNA". It matches the Rfam family "Bacterial large subunit ribosomal RNA", at positions 392 to 2925 of the family's 2925-position model. Lineage: Eukaryota; Metazoa; Mollusca; Gastropoda; Trochida; Tegulidae. The record is from RNAcentral.